This 438-nucleotide ribosomal RNA is filed under the name uncultured bacterium. RNAcentral's name for it is "partial 16S ribosomal RNA". It matches the Rfam family "Bacterial small subunit ribosomal RNA", at positions 339 to 795 of the family's 1533-position model. The record is from RNAcentral.
CUACGGGGGGCAGCAGUGAGGAAUAUUGCACAAUGGGGGGAACCCUGAUGCAGCAACGCCGCGUGGAGGAUGACGCAUUUCGGUGUGUAAACUCCUUUUAUAUGUCAAGAAAAUGACGGUAGCAUAUGAAUAAGCACCGGCUAACUCCGUGCCAGCAGCCGCGGUAAUACGGAGGGUGCAAGCGUUACUCGGAAUCACUGGGCGUAAAGGAAGCGUAGGCGGGUUGGAAAGUCAGGUGUGAAAUCCUACAGCUUAACUGUAGAACUGCACUUGAAACUUCUAAUCUAGAGUAUGGGAGGGGAGAUGGAAUUAGUGGUGUAGGGGUAAAAUCCGUAGAUAUCACUAGGAAUACCUAAAGCGAAGGCGAUCUCCUGGAACAUUACUGACGCUAAGGCGUGAAAGCGUGGGGAGCAAACAGGAUUAGAUACCCCAGUAGUC